AGGACGAACGCUGGCGGCGUGCCUAACACAUGCAAGUGGAGCGACGAACCAGGCUUCGGCCUGGGGCAAAGCCGCGAACGGGUGAGUAACACGUGGGUAACCUGCCCCGAUGAUUGGGACAACCCGAGGAAACUCGGGCUAAUACCAAAUGUGACCUCCGACCGUAAGGUUGAUGGGGAAAGGAAGCUUCGGCCUCCGCAUUGGGAUGGGCCCGCGGCCCAUUAGCUUGUUGGUGAGGUAACGGCUCACCAAGGCGACGAUGGGUAGCUGGUCUGAGAGGACGAUCAGCCACACUGGGACUGAGACACGGCCCAGACUCCUACGGGAGGCAGCAGUUAGGAAUUUUCCGCAAUGGGCGAAAGCCUGACGGAGCAACGCCGCGUGAGUGAUGAGACCUUCGGGUUGUAAAGCUCUGUCGGAGGGGAGAACACAAUGACGGUACCCUCCAAGAACGCCCGGCUAACUACGUGCCAGCAGCCGCGGU
This 484-nucleotide ribosomal RNA is filed under the name uncultured bacterium. RNAcentral's name for it is "SSU rRNA". It matches the Rfam family "Bacterial small subunit ribosomal RNA", at positions 26 to 521 of the family's 1533-position model. The record is from RNAcentral.